CCUCCUUUUCUUGGCAGGACUGGGUGGCUUGGUACCCAGCUCUGUUAUGUCCGGAGGUAAAUUAAACACCGCCCAGCAUUCUGUCUUCGGUGCCAGUGGCUUUUCCAUCCACUGGUUCUAUCCUCAAGUGCUGGGACAAAG
Molecule: small nucleolar RNA, 141 nt
Organism: Sceloporus undulatus (fence lizard)
Lineage: Eukaryota; Metazoa; Chordata; Lepidosauria; Squamata; Phrynosomatidae
Product: small nucleolar RNA SNORA57
Exons: 1
Source: RefSeq, a predicted model, not a curated record